This 334-nucleotide unclassified non-coding RNA is filed under the name soil metagenome. Its description in RNAcentral is "partial contains 5.8S ribosomal RNA, internal transcribed spacer 2, and large subunit ribosomal RNA". The stretch from base 1 to 120 matches the Rfam family "5.8S ribosomal RNA", at positions 35 to 154 of the family's 154-position model. The record is from RNAcentral.
GAUGAAGAACGUAGCGAAAUGCGAUACGUAAUGUGAAUUGCAGAAUUCGGUGAAUCAUCGAAUCUUUGAACGCACAUUGCGCCUGCCAGCACUCUGGCAGGCAUGCCUGUUCGAGCGUCAUUUCAACCAUCAAGCCCUAGGCUUGCGUUGGAGCCCUGCGGCUGCCGCAGGCCCCUAAAAGCAGUGGCGGGCUCGCUAUCACACCGAGUGCAGUAGAUUACUCUUCGCUCAGGGCGUGUGGCGGGUUCCAGCCGUGAAACCCCCUACUUCUCAAGGUUGACCUCGGAUCAGGUAGGAAUACCCGCUGAACUUAAGCAUAUCAAUAAGCGGAGGA